UCUUUGUUUCCCUGCUUAUUGUAUUAAGAAAAUGAUCAUACUUGGCCAUCUUGUUGCCUCAAAUCAUCUUCUGCAUCUGCAUUGCAGUUGCCACAGAGACCUUCUAUAGCACCUCCAAAAAUAUGAGAAGGAACAGUCAAGCUAAAUGCAAAGUUCGGCUGGUAGCUGAUGAUCUCUAGUUGAAUAGAAGGAAUCAGUAACAACAGCUUCUCCGAAGGUGUUUGUUCUAGAGUCAACCAAGGUGUAUUGAAGGGGAAUCCGUACACUUUCGAACCAUUCAAUUCCACUUCGAAUUCCUGGCUUGUCGAAAGUGUUGAACGUUCUUCCUGUCACAUUGCAAACAGCUUCUAUUGGUGGUGGAGGCUUACAAGUAUAUUUAGGACACUUCUCAAGUUUAUACAUGCUCAUCUUUUCAUAAACAACUGUGUAACCUGGUGGACAAGACACCUUUGGACAGGUCUGAGAAUCGCACCAGAAAUGACUGGGAGCCCAUUAUGGGAUUUACAGAUACAGUCACUCUCGUCUACACAUGUCAAUGCAUCUCUCCAGAAUUCGUUUGAUGAACACUGUGGUUUAUCCAAUGGAUUUCUCCACAAAUUCAUUGCCAUUGAGUCCAGGGGUGCAUUGAUAAAAUAGAUGACAAUUCGUGGGAUGAGAUUCGUAUGGAUGUUCCAUAUUGCACUCUUU
This 687-nucleotide unclassified non-coding RNA is filed under the name Bombus terrestris (buff-tailed bumblebee). RNAcentral's name for it is "misc RNA ENSBTSG00005020765.1". Lineage: Eukaryota; Metazoa; Arthropoda; Insecta; Hymenoptera; Apidae. The record is from RNAcentral.